This 616-nucleotide ribosomal RNA is filed under the name Trichormus anomalus. RNAcentral describes it as "bacterial SSU rRNA". It matches the Rfam family "Bacterial small subunit ribosomal RNA", at positions 122 to 770 of the family's 1533-position model. The record is from RNAcentral. Lineage: Bacteria; Bacillati; Cyanobacteriota; Cyanophyceae; Nostocales; Nostocaceae.
GAAUCUGGCUCCAGGUCGGGGACAACAGUUGGAAACGACUGCUAAUACCGGAUGUGCCGAGAGGUGAAAGAUUUAUUGCCUGGAGAUGAGCUCGCGUCUGAUUAGCUAGUUGGUGUGGUAAGAGCGCACCAAGGCGACGAUCAGUAGCUGGUCUGAGAGGAUGAUCAGCCACACUGGGACUGAGACACGGCCCAGACUCCUACGGGAGGCAGCAGUGGGGAAUUUUCCGCAAUGGGCGAAAGCCUGACGGAGCAAUACCGCGUGAGGGAGGAAGGCUCUUGGGUUGUAAACCUCUUUUCUCAGGGAAUAAAAAAAUGAAGGUACCUGAGGAAUAAGCAUCGGCUAACUCCGUGCCAGCAGCCGCGGUAAUACGGAGGAUGCAAGCGUUAUCCGGAAUGAUUGGGCGUAAAGGGUCCGCAGGUGGCAAUGUAAGUCUGCUGUCAAAGAAUGAGGCUUAACCUCAUCAAGGCAGUGGAAACUACAUAGCUAGAGUACGGUCGGGGUAGAAGGAAUUCCUGGUGUAGCGGUGAAAUGCGUAGAGAUCAGGAAGAACACCGGUGGCGAAAGCGUUCUGCUAGACCUGUACUGACACUGAGGGACGAAAGCUAGGGGAGCG